AUAUUUUUUAGGUGGUGGUGGAGAUUCGUACUUGUAUGGUGGAGGAUAUUUCUUAGGUGGCGGUGAAGACUCAUACUUGUAAGGUGGAGGAUAUUGUUUUGGUGGUGGUGGAGACUCAUACUUGUAAGGUGGCGGAGGAGAUUUUUUGGGAGGAGGUGGAGACUCGUACUUGUAACUUGGAGGAGACUUCUUAGGUGGUGGCGGAGAUUCGUACUUAUAUGGUGGUGGUGGAGAUUUAUACUUAUAGGGCGGUGAUUUUUCGGGAGGAGGUGGAGAUUCAUACUUGUAAGGUGGAGAUUCAUACUUGUAUGGCGGAGAUUUUUUUGGUGGAGGAGGAGAUUCAUAUUUGUAAGGUGGAGAUUUUGUGGGGGGUGGAGAAUCAUACUUGUAAGGUGGAGAUUCAUACUUGUAUGGCGGAGAUUUUUCCGGAGGAGGGGGAGAUUCAUACUUGUAAGAUGGAGAUUUUUUCGGGGGAGGAGGGGAUUCAUACUUGUAAGGUGGGGAUUUAUCUGGAGGAGGUGGAGACUCAUACUUGUAAGGCGGAGAUUUUUCAGGUGGAGACUCGUAAGCAGCAGUAGUCAGAACCGGAAAGUUCAGUGACACAAGUAGCACCACAAGGGUUGCAAGAAAAGAGGCCAUUCUAGAACCCAUGCUCAUAGCUCCCAUAUUUUCUUUAACUGCAUGCAUGUGUUGCUGGUGCUCUCAUGCAUCCCAGUACGCUUGGCUAUUUAUACUAAAAUUAUUUACCUAUACAUUUGUCCGUUAUUCUGGUCCUGUUAAAUUCUCAUGCAUCGAGUAAAUAUGUUAACAAGUGAUUUUCUGCCUCUAACAUAUACGUGCUAGAACUCAUUCAUGUGAUCCUGACAAUACACCAAAACUUGACUUUUAAGUUCUUAACCAGGCUAUACACAUGCUAAAUGCCUAAAUGUAAUCAGAUGUUAAUUCUUUUAUAGCUUUAAGGUUCUGAUCAUGAUUUACAGUAGAGUUUUCUGUUUUCAGUAAAGUUAUAGUACGGCAGACUCAAAUCCAUUAUAUAUAGGAUAAAGUAUGGAUAUAUUGAAUAUCGAAUCAAAUUAGGCACUGUCAAAAUUGGAAUACCUCAACAGUCUAUAAGACAGAUCGAUGAAGACGAUCUAACAAGAGAAUGCUUGAGCAUUAAUUCUAGAACCGGUCCCUAACAAAUCUUGCACAAAUUCUAAUCUGCAACUGAUUACACAUUCAGACGGGACUUUCAAAUUCUUUUCGUAAAAGGAUCAUUUUCUUUGCUAAUUUUCGAACUUUUCAAAAUCUUUUCGUGAAAAAUAGUACUAUCAAACCGCUCACUUACCAAUUCAAAAUGUAACAAGCAGUUGUUCAUCCUUUCUCUGCCAAGGCUACCAGAAAAUGCAGACAUGAUCCGUCACGACCCGACUGGAUCCAACUAAAUCCAAAAUUAUGGAUUAAAAUUUGAGUCUGGGUUUUAUUUUGAAGUCUGGAUUUCAGGUUGAGGCUUCCCUUACUCAACGGGACUCGAAAAUCGAAAACUGAUUGCUCCUAUAUUUGAGUUAUAUGUACUAGUCCUAAAAGAGGGGAGAGUAUAUAGUUAAAUUUUUUAUGACAACAUAAUGUAUUGAAAUUUAAAAAAUAUUAUUAACAAAUUUUAUUAUAUUUUCUUCUAAGAGUUAAUAUUUUCAAUAUUCUUUUAUCUUAAAUGGAUAGUAGAAAUAAUAUAUAUUUAAUUAUCUGUUUAUAAGUAUUUCAAUAAUAAUAUAUGUUAUUGAUAGUACUUAAUUUUAUUUAAGGAUAACACAAAAUAUAAUCAGAUUAUACUAAUCUUUUCUUAUUAUAGUAUAGUAUAAAUUGCAUACAGUAAAUUUUAUAUAACCAAAAUUAUUAGUCUCUCUGCUUUUACAUAUCCCUUUUAAAAAACCAAUUUCUUCUGAAAUAUUUGUUCAUUUCUUAUUCAAUAAAUAUUUUUUAAAUUAUAAUUUCUAAUAUUUGACUAAAAUAUAUACACACACAACUUAAUCUAAUUCACUAUGAUUUUUAGGAUGAAAAUAUGAAAAUGUAAUUAUUUUUAAAAAGACUUCUAAGAAGAGACGAAGUUAAUAAUAUUUUAAUAAUCUAAUCUAAUUUUAAACUCUAAAAUUAUCUCCAUCGUCUAAGCGCUUCCAUCCGCUUUUAACGUGGAAAGCCCAAACUUUUUUAGUUGUUUUAUCUAAUUUUUUCUUCUUUCAAUAAUUAUGCUCUUCGAGAAAGGAUUUCUCUUCCUUGGUUUGCUUUUCUAGAACUACGUCAUCGCCUCAUCAGAGCUUUCGGUUUAUUUCUUUAUUCGAUUCAAGGGGAUGGAGCUCAUCAGAUAAAGGAGUUGAUCGGGUUUCGACUAUGUGAUCAAAGUUUUUUUUCUAUUUUUAUUUGUUUUCAGUUUAUUAUUGUUUUAAGUUUUGACUUGUAUUUUCAGAUUGUUUUCUCUUCUUGGUGAGAGCUUUAAUUGUCAUUUCUUAACUGCAAGAGGGGGUCUUGAUUUGGUGAUGAAAAUUGGUAUGGAAUAGCGGUUCUGAACCUCGUCGAUAUAGCUCAAGCGAUAGCUCUAUCAGGCAUGAUGAAGAAAGGGUAUCAGUAAUUAAACGAGAAUAAGUGGGUACUUGUAUUUGUAUAUACAUUAUCGUCAAAUUCCAUUUAACUACCUCAUUAUGAGAACAUUGGUGUACAUGCCGGAUGGCUUUUUAGUCCCUGUGUUAGGAUAUAUUAGUCUAUCGAUUUUUUAAUGUAUUUUAAGAAUUUUGACCGCAUAUUUAUAAAUAUUAUUUUUAAAAUUUCUUUUUGUAAAUAAAAAUAUGAUACUAAUAUUUUUAUUCACAAAAAAAAGAAAAUUUUAAAAUAAUAUUUAUAAAUGUACAGUCAAAACUCUUAACUCUUAAAUGUACCUGGAAAAAAAAUCAAAUCACUGUUAUAUCCUGGUUAGCGGAGUAACUGUUUUUGAGAUGGAAGGCUAGCAUGGGAGCCGGCGUUGCAGUAUUUUCCCUUCUCUGUUACUGUGGCAAGGUAUUUGUGCAACUAAAUUAGGUGGCUAAAGUUAGUGAAAGAUCUUCUGCCCUGAGACAAUGAUGUGUUUAUUUGACGGAGCUCGAUACCAAAAAUCAUCAAAUGUAAAUGAUUGAAUCCAGAAAUGUUGCAUUUUGUAUACAAGUAUUUAUUUAUGUAAUAGGAGGAUUGCUAGCACUGGUGAAUUAAUGCUAAUAAUCCAUACGGGAAACAUGGAGUUGCGGGUGUGGGAACGAUGAUAUAAGAAAAUUCGAUAAACUUUUAAAAUUAAAAUUCGAUAAAUUUUUAAAAAUAGAGUCCGGAAGCGGGAAUAUGACAAAAUAUUAAAAUACUAUACAUAUAUAUAUAAUUUGCAAAAUUAAAUGAAAUACAUCAAAUAUUUACUCGUUAGAAAUAGCAUUCUAACAUCAAAUAUUCUCCGGAGUUACAAGUGAACCUAUAGCGUCGGCAUUCUCCCGACGGACGUUAUAAGUGAACCGAUGCUAAAUAGUCCAUACGGAAAGUCAUUUUUAUACUAGUGUGCUAUCAUACUCAAGUCAAAAUUACAAAAAUACUAUAAGAAGAGUGCAAAUUCAAGGUGUCAAUAUUUAUAUGUCAUUUAAUAAACAUAUAUAACAAUACUGAAUCAACAAUCAAGGAUAUUAUAAGAAAAAUCAGCAAACAAAAAAUUGAAAAAUUAAAAGGGAAUAGCUUGAUUAAGAGCGACUUAUUUAAUGAAAAAGACCAGACCCAAUACAACACAUAUACCAGCUCCCACCAAUUGACAGUACAUAUUUUACGCACAAAAGAAUUGCAAUAAUUGUAGCUGACGAAGAACUAUAUGUUAUACACAAAAAUCACCAUGAAGACCCGGCCCAUAAAAGAAGAUUAUGAUGGGCUUAAGAGUGGACCAAGCCCAAACUAGCCAUGUAAGUCAGAAAGGAUCACUACACGAAGAUUGGGCGCGCCUUAUCUUAAGGGUGCGCCAAGUUGAAGCUUACAGAGAAAGAUCAUCAUUUGAAGGGCAGAAGGGGACAUAUUUUACCUAGGGGGACGCCUUUGGGUGUGUAUAGAUCCUACUGUUAAUUUGUCGAAGACUCUACCUUGUAGUCUGAGGAGUUGCCCUCCUUGGGAGAUAGAGAAUGAAGAUUAGAGGAGGCCUUGCUCUGUAGUCUGGCGAGUUGUCCUUGUCGGGGAGCUUGUGGAACCUUCUCGAAGAUACGCCCUGGAAGGCUCUAUCUCUGUAGUCUGGCGGGUUGUCCCUGUCGGGGAGUAGAGAAGUGCCCUUGCAUUUGGGGUAAGUUUUGGGUGCUCGAGAGUCUACAAGGCCCAAGACUAGGCCUCAUCGUAUUGGGCCCCUUUCAGGAGGAAGAUAGCAGAAGGGGAAGCCUAAUCCUAUUAGGUUUAGGUUUCCUAAGGAGAAAAGAACUACGUACUGGCUUGAUCCCCUAUAAAUAUAGGGGUACGUAGGCAAAUUAGGGGGACACGAGUUGAGAGCAUCUGGAGGCAACUCGAAACCCUAAUCUCAGCCACCCCAAUAUUUUCCAUCACCACCGCUUAGCCACCGUCACAGAUCUUGAUUCCGGCCACGAACCUCGAAUUUUGUUAACUACCAAAUUCCUCCGUUAACAAAUUGGCGCUAGAAGGAGGGACUGUUUCUAGAUUCAUCUGCGGAGGACAGAUGAUGCGGCGUUAAAGUUUAUACACGUGAUCAGCAACAGAUGGAGAAUAUUACCGUCACAGCUUUGUCUCGGACACUGGGAUGCAUAUCAUGCACGACAAGAUACUCACAUUGAAAUCCAAUAGCAUGCCUAAACUUUAAAUAAAGUUCGGGAAUUAAUGGGUGUGAGAUGUGAACAAAAGCACGCAACAAGUCGGCCAGACGUCGAGCAACUUAAGCCGUAAGCCACCACAAAUUUCCGAUACGACCGACGAAGAAGAUAAGUUUCCGUUUUCAAAUAUUAAACUUAUUUAUUUACAAAAAAUAUUGUUUUGUGAAAAUUAUGCUUUUUACUCAAAACAUACAUUGAAUAUAUUCAUCGUUGUUAACGUGAAUAUUUUAUGGAAGGACAUGUUUAUUACGUUUGAUUGAGUUGUUAUAUGAAUUUAUUAUUUACGCGUACUUAACGUCCUGAGUUUUUUUUAUCAGUCACGAUAUAUGUGUCGAGGCAUAAAAUUAGCAAAACAGUAAAAAGGAGGACUUGUUUUGGAAUAGCCGGAUGACAAAAGCCUGUUACUUUUUACUAGUACAUGAGUUUAGUAUGUGCACUGACGUCACCGAGGUCUCCAGCUAAGCGCCGACUUGUAAACGGAAAAGAUAAGCUUUUUUCAAUUUUAUUUAAUUUAUAUAGUUUUACUUGUAAUUGUACAUGUGCAGAAAAAAUAUGGUUUGUGUUCAAACACUAGGAGGUUGUAGUAUAUAAACCAAUAAACAGCGCGCGGAACUAUUUGACUGAGGGACAAGCGGAAUGAUUCCCUGCGGUAAAGGAAACCAACUCCAGCAGAACAAAUUCAGACCCAAACAACUUUCAAAGAAAAAAAGAGAUAAGAUUUUCUUUAUUUAAUUCAUAUUUAUGUACUUGGAUUUAUUACGCGGAUUGAAUUUAUUAUGACAUGCAUCAUUGUAUUUUAUAAGAUUGUGCACCAACUCGGCUAUUAAACUAUUAGGUCCUCUUAUUAUAAUUUUUACUAAUCAUGAAUAUUACAAUAUUUUAUUAUAUGGACCAAAAGAACGGCAGGCUAUGAACAGGUUUAAGAAGAGUGGUAAUUGAAGGGGAAGAGAAAGAAAACCAAGGAAUGGAGCAAAUUGCCGAAGCUUGAAUGGCUGGUUUAAAAGGAAACCGACACUUAAGAAUUAAAGGAGCACAUGACGAGCUGACAUAAAUGGCAGCCAGCAAAAAUAAAGAUAAGCCUUUCUUAAUUUUCCUUCGUAUCAUAUAUUAUUUCUUUUCUGUACAUAAAUGCACGGAUUAUUUUUAAAGAUAAUUUGACACGUAGAAUUGUGAUUGUGUACAUGUUAAGUGUAUAUAUUAUUAUUAUUUUGGAGUUCUUUGUUUGUGGGUCAAUGUGGAAAAACAACAGGAUCUUGGUGAUAGUGCAUACAAACAUACCGGAAGAUAGAGAGCAUAUGUUGUUAUAAUCGCUGACAUGUCUUGAGGUGCAGGUGCAUGGAGUUUCUCAUGUUCAAUGUAGAGAUAAGUAUUUUUCAUUUUUUGUAAUUUUCAUUUGGUAUAUAUAUUCUUGUCAUACAUAUAUUUAUUCUUGGAUAUGUAUGUUUUAAAUUUAAAUAUUUUAUGAGUAAUCGCAGUAUAUAUUUCGCUAAUAGGGUAUUGAUUAUUAUUAUAACACCACAAAUAUAUUAAUAUAUUUAUGUGUGGUGUUUAUAUAACAAAUAUUGUGUAUCUCUAACCUAAUAUUUUAUUUAGUAAGCUAUUUUUAGACAGGAAAAAAAUUCGUAAGGUAAGCUCAGGAUGAAAGUAAUGGAGGAUAUUUACAAGAUGUGUCUCUCCGGAACAGCGUUCUCUUGAAAUUAUCGAGAGGCGCGCCUUCCCCUAACAGGGUGCGCCAUGAGGUAAAUACUAACCUUAUUAUUUUGCGAAAUAAAAUUGUGUAUAUAUAUAUUGUAUACAGAGACACGUCCAACACUCCAGUCUUCAAGAUUCAGAGUAAAUAUAUGUCACAACACAUCUUCGCAACACUGUCUUCUCCAACCUGCAUCUUCAAGUCAAGCUCAUACUCCGAAACUGGGGGGUGAUCAUACAGAUUAGAAGAAGGAUUUGGAUAAGAAGAGAACGCCUCAUCCACAUCUAAGACGUGGUAGAAGGUACAUUCUUCUGCUUCAUCCUCGGCUUCCACGGCCUCAUCUCCAGCAUCGGCUUCCGCGGCCUCAUCUUCAGCCUCGGCUUCCGCAGCCUCAUCUUCAGCCUCGGCUUCCGCGGCCUCUCAUUCAGCCUUGGCUUCCGCAGCCUCAUCUUCAGCCUCGGCUUCCGCGGCCUCUCCUUCAGCAUCGGCUUCCGCAGCCUCAUCUCUCCUCCAGCCUUGGCUUCCACAGCCUCAUCUUCAGCCUCGGCUUCCGCGGUCUCUCCUUCAGCCUCGGCUUCCGCAGCCUCAUCUCUCCUUCAGCCUCGGCUUCCGCGGCCUCAUCUCUCCUUCAGUCUCGGCUUCCGCGGCCUCAUCUUCAUCAACUCAUCCUCGGCUUCCAUGGCCUCAUCCUCAGCAACCUCGCCAUCGUCUUCAUCAGGCAAACACUACCUUCACAUCCAUCAAGCAAAUGCUGCCUUCACCUCCGUCAAGCGAACAUCAUCUUCGCCUCCGACAAGCAGAAUCAACUUCUUCUUCAAACAACUUCUUCAACAUCAGCUUCAGAGGAAUCUCCCCCAUUCGACUCAGUUGCACUGUUCAGACUCAGCUAUUAUACGGCAACGUAUGGCGUGUCUAAUUAAAGAAUGUCUACAUCUUCUGCACCAAUGAAGAACAACCAAGAUAUGACAUCCCAGGGGAUGAAGGACAUCAAGAUCUCGUCGACAUCUUCAAUGCCACCAAGAUAUGGGGGGUAGCUGUUAUACACAAAAAUCACCAUGAAGACCCGGCCCAUAAAAGAAGAUUAUGAUGGGCUUAAGAGUGGACCAAGCCCAAACUAGCCAUGUAAGUCAGAAAGGAUCACUACACGAAGAUUGGGCGCGCCUUAUCUUAAGGGCGCGCCAAGUUGAAGCUUACAGAGAAAGAUCAUCAUUUGAAGGGCAGAAGGGGACAUAUUUUACCUAGGGGGACGCCUUUGGGUGUGUAUAGAUCCUACUGUUAAUUUGUCGAAGACUCUACCUUGUAGUCUGAGGAGUUGCCCUCCUUGGGAGAUAGAGAAUGAAGAUUAGAGGAGGCCUUGCUCUGUAGUCUGGCGAGUUGUCUUUGUCGGGGAGCUUGUGGAACCUUCUCGAAGAUACGCCCUGGAAGGCUCUAUCUCUGUAGUCUAGCGGGUUGUCCCUGUCGGGGAGUAGAGAAGUGCCCUUGCAUUUGGGGUAAGUUUUGGGUGCUCGAGAGUCUACAAGGCCCAAGACUAGGCCUCAUCGUAUUGGGCCCCUUUCAGGAGGAAGAUAGCAGAAGGGGAAGCCUAAUCCUAUUAGGUUUAGGUUUCCUAAGGAGAAAAGAACUACGUACUGGCUUGAUCCCCUAUAAAUAUAGGGGUACGUAGGCAAAUUAGGGGGACACGAGUUGGGAGCAUCUGGAGGCAACUCGAAACCCUAAUCUCAGCCACCCCAAUAUUUUCCAUCACCACCGCUUAGCCACCGUCACAGAUCUUGAUUCCGGCCACGAACCUCGAAUUUUGUUAACUACCAAAUUCCUCCGUUAACACUAUACUUGUAGUUGCUGAAGAACUACAAAACUUCCGGAGAUCAACCUUCCCACCCCUUACCUUGUGUGUUUUUUCAUCUUGUAAAGGAUGGUUAACGGAAAACUAAUUUUACUUUGCAUAUUGAAAGGCAUGGAAAAUGCUAGAGUCCCUAGAAAACCUCCAAGCAUAUAUAAUGAAAAGAAAGCCAUCAAUUAUAAUCCAACCAGAUUGCCAUACUUAUGCAGUGCAUUGAUCUUUACAGUUGUCUUUGUUGGACAAAAGUAGAAGUUAUCGUAUCAAAAUAGAAAAUGUUACUUGGCUAUUAUUAUGUUAUUUUCAUGUUCUUUCUGUAUUUAAGAAGACGUAUGGAACCAUUUUUUGUAUCAUCUAUCAUGUAUUCAUUGUUUAUGUUUUUGGACAACUGCAUCUUAUGGUUAUCAGUGUUAAACUUGAUUCUUAUAGACAAGUUCUUGAUAAAUUAUUGUUAUUUUAGCUCAGUUUUCUGGAAAUUCUAAUAAUAAUAUAAAUAUGUAAAAGUAAUUAAAGAAAUUUGUCAGUGAAAUGAAUAGUAAAGCAAGAGUAGAGAAAAACACGAAUAUGAAUCUUAUUAUUUUAUUUAAAAAUGCAUCUCUUUAAUCAAAACAUACCACACAAUUACAAAUUAUAGGUAAAUACAACACACGAAUUAUGUAGGUAUAUCCAGAGCAGGAAAACAGGGCAGGACAAGCGGUUUCUUUAUCUUAUAAUUUGCUGAUAGCGUUGUAAUUGCAUCCAUUCCCGCCUAUCCUGAGAAAUUAAAAGAUAUUUUGCAACUCAUUAGCUAGAUAGAGAAAUAGAUUAAAAUGCGAAGAAUGGACUCUAGGUUACUGUUAGUGUUAUAUAUCUAUAUGCAUGCAAACACCAUGCAUGUCGAAUGAACAGAAUAUGUGUAUGAGGAGAAAAGAUGGAAGCAAAUCAAGGUAUGUGUAAUUAAUAGUUAUUGAGGUUCAGAGUGGAUAAAUUUCUGCGUCUAUAAUUUGAUUAAUAUCGAUGACUACCUGAGAAGGGGAAUACAACGGAAUAUCUCUUAGGUGUGAUAAGGAGGUGGUGGAGACUUGUAUUCGUAUCCCUCGUCCUUUUUGGGAGGUGGUGGAGACUUGUAUUCGUAUCCCUUGUCCUUUUUGGGAGGUGGUGGAGACUCGUACUUGUAAGGCGGGGAUUUUUCAUGCUUUGGUGGUGGGCAUUUGUCUUCUUUUGGAGGAGGUGGUGGAGACUUGUACUCGUAUUUUGGUGGUUUUGGCUUGUGGGGUUUAGGUGGUGGAGGGCACUUAGGAGGAGGGGAUGGUGAAGGACACUUGGGAGGAGGUGGUGGUGAGGGACACUUUGGAGGAGGAGGUGGUGAGGGACACUUGGGAGGAGGCGGUGGUGACGGACAUUUGGACGGAGGCGGUGGUGACGGGCACUUGGGAGGAGGAGGUGGUGACGGGCACUUGGGAGGAGGAGGUGGUGAUGGGCACUUGGGAGGUGGUGGUGGUGAUGGACACUUGGGGGGUGGCGGUGGGGAAGGACACUUUGGAGGUGGUGGAGGAUAUUCUUUUGGUGGCGGUGGAGACUCGUACUUGUAUGGCGGAGGAUAUUUCUUAGGUGGUGGUGGAGACUCGUACUUGUAUGGUGGAGGAUAUUUUUUAGGUGGUGGAGGAGACUCAUAUUUGUAUGGUGGUGGAUACUUCUUAGGGGGUGGAGGAGACUCAUACUUGUAAGGCGGCGGAUAUUUUUUCGGUGGUGGUGGAGACUCGUAUUUGUAAGGUGGAGGAUAUUUCUUAGGUGGUGGUGGAGACUCGUACUUGUAAGGCGGUGGAUAUUUCUUAGGUGGUGGCGGAGACUCAUACUUGUAAGGUGGUGGAUAUUUCUUAGGUGGCGGUGGGGAUUCAUACUUAUACGGAGGAGAUUUUUCAGGAGGGGGUGGAGAUUCAUACUUAUAAGGAGGAGAUUUUUCAGGAGGGGGUGGAGAUUCGUACUUGUAAGAUUGUUCAGAAUCAGCAGUGAUGAACACUGGAAAGUUAAGUGACACAAGUAGCACCA
Molecule: long non-coding RNA, 10390 nt
Filed under: Daucus carota (carrot)
Lineage: Eukaryota; Viridiplantae; Streptophyta; Magnoliopsida; Apiales; Apiaceae
Description: long non-coding RNA (DCAR_LNC002983)
Source: RNAcentral